This is a non-coding RNA of Paramisgurnus dabryanus, 371 nucleotides long. NCBI's taxonomy places the organism in Eukaryota, Metazoa, Chordata, Actinopteri, Cypriniformes, Cobitidae. The record is from RefSeq and is a predicted model, not a curated record.
UAAUUGGGGAGGGUGGGACUCCGGCAAGUGCGCUUUAUCCUUCCUCUCCAGACAAGCCAGGUACACACACCAGCUGACAGCUCACCGCAAACAGCCUUCAGCCUAUCAACGAAUAACGACAUCCACCGCUGCAGCAGUUUCAGAAACGACCUGUAGAAUGAGUUACUACUCGGAUCCAGUUUCCUCCUAUCAGCCUCUUCAACCGCCUGACUGUCUGGGUGUAAUGAGGUCAAGUGGUGUGAUGGCAGUCACUAUGGUGCCACAGAUGCAGCCUCCUGUAGUGUGCCACCCACAAAACCCAACUCCAGCCAGACCUCUGUACGCCCAUCACAUCACCCUGCAGGAGGUCCCCAAUGGACCAGAAUACGGCA